UACGCAGGGACCAAGCGUUGUUCGGAUUUACUGGGCGUAAAGGGCGCGUAGGCGGCGUGACAAGUCACUUGUGAAAUCUCUGAGCUUAACUCAGAACGGCCAAGUGAAACUGUUGUGCUAGAGUGCAGAAGGGGCAAUCGGAAUUCUUGGUGUAGCGGUGAAAUGCGUAGAUAUUAGGAAGAACACCGGUGGCGAAGGCGGCCCACUGGCUCGAUACUGACGCUGAGGUGCGAAAGCGUGGGGAGCAAACAGG
RNAcentral lists this ribosomal RNA (253 nucleotides) under uncultured bacterium. Its description in RNAcentral is "partial 16S ribosomal RNA". It matches the Rfam family "Bacterial small subunit ribosomal RNA", at positions 524 to 776 of the family's 1533-position model. The record is from RNAcentral.